RNAcentral lists this ribosomal RNA (496 nucleotides) under uncultured bacterium. RNAcentral describes it as "partial 16S ribosomal RNA". It matches the Rfam family "Bacterial small subunit ribosomal RNA", at positions 28 to 506 of the family's 1533-position model. The record is from RNAcentral.
GAAGAACGCUGGCGGCGUGCCUAAUACAUGCAAGUCGAGCGAACGGACGAGAAGCUUGCUUCUCUGAUGUUAGCGGCGGACGGGUGAGUAACACGUGGAUAACCUACCUAUAAGACUGGGAUAACUUCGGGAAACCGGAGCUAAUACCGGAUGAUAUUUUGAACCGCAUGGUUCAAAAGUGAAAGACGGUCUUGCUGUCACUUAUAGAUGUAUCCGCGCUGCAUUAGCUAGUUGGUAAGGUAACGGCUUACCAAGGCAACGAUGCAUAGCCGACCUGAGAGGGUGAUCGGCCACACUGGAACUGAGACACGGUCCAGACUCCUACGGGAGGCAGCAGUAGGGAAUCUUCCGCAAUGGGCGAAAGCCUGACGGAGCAACGCCGCGUGAGUGAUGAAGGUCUUCGGAUCGUAAAACGCUGUUAUUAGGGAAGAACAUAUGUGUAAGUAACUGUGCACAUCUUGACGGUACCUAAUCAGAAAGCCACGGCUAACUACGU